RNAcentral lists this ribosomal RNA (268 nucleotides) under uncultured Staphylococcus sp. RNAcentral's name for it is "partial 16S ribosomal RNA". It matches the Rfam family "Bacterial small subunit ribosomal RNA", at positions 96 to 355 of the family's 1533-position model. Lineage: Bacteria; Bacillati; Bacillota; Bacilli; Caryophanales; Staphylococcaceae. The record is from RNAcentral.
CGGCGGACGGGUGAGUAACACGUGGGUAACCUACCUAUAAGACUGGGAUAACUUCGGGAAACCGGAGCUAAUACCGGAUAAUAUUUCGAACCGCAUGGUUCGAUAGUGAAAGAUGGUUUUGCUAUCACUUAUAGAUGGACCUGCGCCGUAUUAGCUAGUUGGUAAGGUAACGGCUUACCAAGGCGACGAUACGUAGCCGACCUGAGAGGGUGAUCGGCCACACUGGAACUGAGACACGGUCCAGACUCCUACGGGAGGCAGCAGCUCG